AAUCAACGCUGGCGGCGCGCUUAACACAUGCAAGUCGCACGAGAAAGGGAGCAAUCCUGAGUAAAGUGGCGUACGGGUGAGUAACACGUGGAUUAUCUACCUUUUAGUGGGGAAUACCUCCGGGAAACUGGAGACAAUACCGCAUAAGCUCGAGAGAGGAAAGCCGAAAGGCGCUGAAAGAGGAGUCCGCGGCUGAUUAUGCUAGUUGGCGGGGUAAUGGCCCACCAAGGCGAAGAUCGGUAGCCGGCCUGAGAGGGCUCACGGCCACAC
This 270-nucleotide ribosomal RNA is filed under the name uncultured bacterium. Its description in RNAcentral is "partial 16S ribosomal RNA". It matches the Rfam family "Bacterial small subunit ribosomal RNA", at positions 32 to 313 of the family's 1533-position model. The record is from RNAcentral.